CAACAAAUGAUUUACCAAUUAAGUACAGAUGAAAAUUCAACUUUCAAAAGAUAUUCAAUGAAGCACAAAGUUUGAUACCAAAAAUCUGCUUAAAUUGAUACCAAUUAGACAUUAAAAGCAUACUAAAAGUCCUUUGCCAAAUUUACAUAGAGUAACCUUUAUUGAUUUAGUUUUUAAGAACAUUCAUUUUUUUAUUUAUGUAAGCCUCUUGAGAUCUAUUCAUGCUUUUCAGAUAUCGACAACAAUGAUCAUGAAUCAAACAUAAAACAUUACGUUCCA
Molecule: long non-coding RNA, 279 nt
Filed under: Phoenix dactylifera (date palm)
Lineage: Eukaryota; Viridiplantae; Streptophyta; Magnoliopsida; Arecales; Arecaceae
Description: long non-coding RNA (PDAC_LNC010417)
Source: RNAcentral